RNAcentral lists this ribosomal RNA (110 nucleotides) under Periophthalmus magnuspinnatus. The record is from RNAcentral. Lineage: Eukaryota; Metazoa; Chordata; Actinopteri; Gobiiformes; Gobiidae.
AUUGGCUUCAUACAUGUCAAAGCCUGGUCUUGUCAUAUCUCAGAAGCUAAGCAAAGUGGGUCCUGGUUAGUCCUUGGAUGGGAGACUGCUGAGAAUAUACAGUGCCAGUU